Molecule: long non-coding RNA, 255 nt
Filed under: Chrysemys picta bellii (western painted turtle)
Lineage: Eukaryota; Metazoa; Chordata; Testudines; Emydidae
Description: lncRNA (ENSCPBG00000005467.1)
Source: RNAcentral
GGAUAUUCCACCAACACAGAUUGUACGUGAGAGACAAGUUCUUAUGCAAACACAUUAACACAUUUGCCAUGGCGGUGGAGGUUCAACCCGACUGCAGGGUGUUCUGGCUCAUGUACUGCAGAAGACACAAAUUUUGCUUUUUGAGUGACUGGCUUAUGAAUGACACAGCUUCAGUGAGCUUUAGCGAAAGGUUAGUAAAAUAAUUUGAUUUCAAACGACUCUAUUAAUACUGUACAGUGUGUUAGCAAGAACAUU